GUCCACGCUGUAAACGUUGCGAACUAGGUGUCGGGGGUAUUCACCCCUCCGGUGCCGAAGCUAACGUCUUAAGUUCGCCGCCUGGGAAGUACGGCCGCAAGGCUAAAACUCAAAGGAAUUGACGGGGGCCCGCACAAGCGGUGGAGCAUGUGGUUCAAUUCGAUGCAACGCGAAGAACCUUACCUGGGCUUGACAUCCGGAGAAUCCUUCAGAAAUGAGGGAGUGCCUGUAAGGGACUCCGAGACAGGUGCUGCAUGGCUGUCGU
This 265-nucleotide ribosomal RNA is filed under the name uncultured bacterium. RNAcentral's name for it is "partial 16S ribosomal RNA". It matches the Rfam family "Bacterial small subunit ribosomal RNA", at positions 793 to 1055 of the family's 1533-position model. The record is from RNAcentral.